RNAcentral lists this ribosomal RNA (473 nucleotides) under Amblyseius tamatavensis. RNAcentral's name for it is "SSU rRNA". It matches the Rfam family "Eukaryotic small subunit ribosomal RNA", at positions 557 to 1035 of the family's 1831-position model. Lineage: Eukaryota; Metazoa; Arthropoda; Arachnida; Mesostigmata; Phytoseiidae. The record is from RNAcentral.
AAGUCUGGUGCCAGCAGCCGCGGUAAUUCCAGCUCCAAUAGCGUAUAUUAAAAUUGUUGCGUCUAAAAAGCUCGUAGUUUGAAAACUCGCCUCGGCUUACAAUAGGUUCCCAAUGGGGGCCGCCGUUUGUUGGGUGCGAAUAUCGAUGACUGUUUUUGCCGACUUCAUUGUCCGGCUUAUAAGAGUUAUCAAAUAUCACUUUGAUUAAAUUAGAGUGCUUAAAGCAAGUGUGUUACUUGGAUAUAAAUGCAUGGAAUGAUGGAAUAUGUUGUUGUUCUAUUUGUUGGUUUUUGAACGAUAAAAUGAUUGAAAGGAACUGUUGGGGGCAUUCGUAUUGUUGUGAGAGAGGUGAAAUUCUUAGACCACAGCAAGACGAACUACUGCGAAAGCAUUUGCCAAGAAUGUUUUCAUUGAUCAAGAACGAAAGUUAGAGGUUCGAAGGCGAUCAGAUACCGCCCUAGUUCUAACCAUAA